AGCGAACGCUGGCGGCAGGCCUAACACAUGCAAGUCGAACGAACUCUUCGGAGUUAGUGGCGGACGGGUGAGUAACACGUGGGAACGUGCCUUUAGGUUCGGAAUAACUCAGGGAAACUUGUGCUAAUACCGAAUGUGCCCUUCGGGGGAAAGAUUUAUCGCCUUUAGAGCGGCCCGCGUCUGAUUAGCUAGUUGGUGAGGUAAAGGCUCACCAAGGCGACGAUCAGUAGCUGGUCUGAGAGGAUGAUCAGCCACAUUGGGACUGAGACACGGCCCAAACUCCUACGGGAGGCAGCAGUAGGGAAUCUUGCGCAAUGGGCGAAAGCCUGACGCAGCCAUGCCGCGGGAAUGAUGAAGGUCUUAGGAUUGUAAAAUUCUUUCACCGGGGACGAUAAUGACGGUACCCGGAGAAGAAGCCCCGGCUAACUUCGUG
This 433-nucleotide ribosomal RNA is filed under the name uncultured bacterium. RNAcentral describes it as "partial 16S ribosomal RNA". It matches the Rfam family "Bacterial small subunit ribosomal RNA", at positions 29 to 507 of the family's 1533-position model. The record is from RNAcentral.